UUAUUUGCCUUCUGUGACAGCUUUUGGACUGUUUCAUAGUCUCCUAUGAAGUAACUUGUAUCCUAUUGAUUGAGGUCUCUUGAGGCUGCCAGAAGCAAUCACUUUGUAAACCAGAAAACACAAUGAGUAUAUGAAGAAAGUCAGCUAACAUGAAAGAGCAUAAACAAGUGCAGGGUGGAGAAAACUAGGAUCACAGGUCUUUGGUGGGAGAUCUCCAUUAUGGACUCAGCAUUAUUGCAGGGACUAUCUGUGCCUUCAGAAAUGCAUCAGGAAUCAGCUUAUAAUGUAUUACUUUUUCAGCACUGACUACUUUGAAGAGACUUGUGGAAAUAUAUUCCAUUCUACUGAUUAAAAACUUCAUUGUAUUCAGAACAGAUUCAUCAACUUAUAAUUGUGGCCAGUGUAUCUGCAUUUCUGUUUGUGAAAACAGACAUCUUUUUCAUCCUGUUUGAAUGCAUUUUGCCAACACAUUAGUCUAUGUGACUCAUAACGUGCAAUUCCUACUGUAUUUAUACAGUUUUUUCUUACUUAUCAAUGUUUACAUUACUGUCUUACACAUUUAUGUACUGCUACAACAACUACAUCUGAUCUAUAUUUGUGAUAUGUACUAUUUCCCUCCUAAUAUCCUGUCACAUAUGAUAAAGAAAGAACUCAGUGGUUUCAAAGGAAAGUUGAUAUUAUUUGAGAGCUGACUUUGCAGACCAAAGAACUUUACUUUAAAGUAACUUUUAGUAUCUGUGAUUUAUUGAAGUUCUUUGUGAUAACAAAGCCUAGAAUAAAUUUGGGCGUAAGCAGUCAUAUUUAAGUACCUUUACUAUAAAAUAAGGGCAUGCAUUAUCUAGAAAUUUAGAGAUGUUUUCAUUUUCAAAUCCAUUCAAUAUGGUGAUACAACCUGUAGGUAUUUGUUAUAAUGAGCUAAGAAUAACAUGAAAAUGAAAUCAUUACCCAUGCUUUUUGAAGGCAGAAAAUCAAUGACUUUGUGACAGCAGUAUUCAGUAUAACACCGUACCAAUUUGCCUUUUUCUUUAUUCUCUAUGGCCAGUAUGCUCAUUAGUUGGUUUCUUCGGCCUUUUCUCUAGGACUGAUACAAUGAUCGUCACUUUGAAAUUAGGAACAGAGGCAUUUUUAACAACAGAAAGACUUCACAAGUAUUGGUGAAUAUGUUUAGAUUGUGUGCUCUUGUAUCUGUUCCUAUAUGUGCAUUUACCAGUGUUUUUCAUGGACAGAGUACUGGGAGUGUUGCUUGAACGACUGUUUUAUAUCAUGUAUUUGUGUUCCUCCAAGCAACUUAGCACUUGGCUUUUUUAUUUCCUUUGCCUCUCAGGAGCAUUGGUUUUUACCCUAAUAAUGCAGUUACUGAAAUGUAGGGGUCUUGUGUGUUUUCCUAUGUCUGUUACCUUACUUGUAGCCUUGUAAUUUGGUGCUAUUAGUAGGCUUGAUGAAUAUGGGGAAUACAGUAAUAAUGUGUAGUCUCUUUGAUAUUAAUGGUGCUAUGUAGCUUUGUUCCCAACACAGAAGGUCUUAAAGUAUCCUUCCUAUCUUUUUCAACCUGAAAAUUAUGGCUGUUGGCUCUCUAUUGACUAUUAACCUUGAUUGUAUGUCAACCAUAUAUUUUAUCUGAAUUUCUUAUGCAAAUCAAUCUCACAUAUUGUUUUAUAUUGCUGUUAGUACUGCUGUGUGCCUCAGAGGCUUUAAUAAAACA
Coturnix japonica (Japanese quail) is the source of this 1702-nucleotide non-coding RNA. NCBI's taxonomy places the organism in Eukaryota, Metazoa, Chordata, Aves, Galliformes, Phasianidae. The record is from RefSeq and is a predicted model, not a curated record.